This 253-nucleotide ribosomal RNA is filed under the name uncultured bacterium. RNAcentral's name for it is "partial 16S ribosomal RNA". It matches the Rfam family "Bacterial small subunit ribosomal RNA", at positions 524 to 776 of the family's 1533-position model. The record is from RNAcentral.
UACGUAGGGGGCGAGCGUUGUCCGGAUUUAUUGGGCGUAAAGAGCUCGUAGGCGGCUUGUCGAGUCGACUGUGAAAACCCGCAGCUCAACUGCGGGCCUGCAGUCGAUACGGGCAGGCUAGAGUUCGGUAGGGGAGACUGGAAUUCCUGGUGUAGCGGUGAAAUGCGCAGAUAUCAGGAGGAACACCGAUGGCGAAGGCAGAUCUCUGGGCCUUAACUGACGCUGAGGAGCGAAAGCAUGGGGAGCAAACAGG